RNAcentral lists this ribosomal RNA (550 nucleotides) under uncultured bacterium. Its description in RNAcentral is "partial 16S ribosomal RNA". It matches the Rfam family "Bacterial small subunit ribosomal RNA", at positions 355 to 895 of the family's 1533-position model. The record is from RNAcentral.
UGGGGAAUAUUGCACAAUGGGCGCAAGCCUGAUGCAGCCAUGCCGCGUGUGUGAAGAAGGCCUUCGGGUUGUAAAGCACUUUCAGCGAGGAGGAAGGUGGUGAGCUUAAUACGCUCAUCAAUUGACGUUACUCGCAGAAGAAGCACCGGCUAACUCCGUGCCAGCAGCCGCGGUAAUACGGAGGGUGCAAGCGUUGAUCGGAAUUACUGGGCGUAAAGCGCACGCAGGCGGUUUGUUAAGUCAGAUGUGAAAAUCCCCGGGCUCAACCUGGGAACUGCAUUUGAAACUGGCAAGCUAGAGUCUCGUAGAGGGGGGUAGAAAUUCCAGGCGUAGCGGUGAAAUGCGUAGAGAUCUGGAGGAAUACCGGUGGCGAAGGCGGCCCCCUGGACGAAGACUGACGCUCAGGUGCGAAAGCGUGGGGAGCAAACAGGAUUAGAUACCCUGGUAGUCCACGCUGUAAACGAUGUCGAUUUGGAGGUUGUGCCCUUGAGGCGUGGCUUCCGGAGCUAACGCGUUAAAUCGACCGCCUGGGGAGUACGGCCGCAAGGUU